GAUGAAGAACGUAGCGAAAUGCGAUAAGUAAUGUGAAUUGCAGAAUUCAGUGAAUCAUCGAGUCUUUGAACGCACAUUGCGCCCCCUGGUAUUCCGGGGGGCAUGCCUGUCCGAGCGUCAUUGCCGCCCUCAAGCACGGCUUGUGUGUUGGGCCCCCGCCCCCCGGCUUCGGGGGGCGGGCCCGAAAGGCAGCGGCGGCACCGCGUCCGGUCCUCGAGCGUAUGGGGCUUCGUCACCCGCUCUGUAGGCCCGGCCGGCGCCCGCCGGCGACCCCAAUCAAUCUUUCCAGGUUGACCUCGGAUCAGGUAGGGAUACCCGCUGAACUUAAGCAUAUCAAUAAGCGGGAGGA
Molecule: unclassified non-coding RNA, 349 nt
Filed under: soil metagenome
Description: partial contains 5.8S ribosomal RNA, internal transcribed spacer 2, and large subunit ribosomal RNA
Rfam family: 5.8S ribosomal RNA (bases 1-120)
Source: RNAcentral